CCUGGAUGACCCUGCCAGUAGCAUAUGCAUGUCUCAAAGAUUAAGCCUUGCACGUUUAAGUACACACGACCGGUACAGUUAAACUGCAAAUGGCUCAUUAAAUCAGUUAUGGUUCCUUUGAUCGAUCCAUGGAUAACUGUGGUAAUUCUAGAGCUAAUACAUGCCGACAAGCCCGGACCUCCCGGGAUGCGUGCAUUUAUCAGACCAAGACCCAUCUGGGCUCGCCCGGCCGUUUUGGUGACUCUAGAUAACCGCGGGCCGAUCGCACAUCUCUGUGAUGGCGACUAUGCAUUCGGAUGUCGGCCCUAUCAAAUUUCGAUGGUACGUUCUGUGCCUACCAUGGUGACCACGGGUAAUGGGGAAUCGGGGUUCGAUUACGGAGAGGGAGCCUGAGAAAUGGCUACCACAUCAAGGAAGGCAGCAGGCGCCCAAAUUACCCACUCCCGACUCUGGGAGGUAGUGACAAAAAAUGUAAAUCCUUUAACUAGUUCCCAUUGGAAGGCAAGUCUGGUGCCAGCAGCCAUGGUAAUUCCAGCUCCAAUGGCAUAUAUUAUAUUUGCUGCAGUCAAAAGGCUUGUAGUUUGAUCUUGGGAUCGAGCUGGUGGCCCGCCGCGAGGCUAGCUAUCGCCUGUCCCAGCCCCUGGUUCUUGGCACCCCCUUCAUGCUCUUGACUGAGUGUCCUGGGGGUCUGAAGCAUUUACUUUGAAAAAAGUAGUGUUCAAAGCAGGCCGGUAGCCUGAAUACUUCAGCUAGGAAUAAUGGAAUAGGACUCUGGUUCUAUUUUGUUUUUUCGGAAACUGGGGCCAUGAUUAAGAGGGACGGCCGGGGGGCAUUCGCAUUGUGCCGCUAGAGGUGAAAUUCUUGGACCGGCGCAAGACGAACCAAAGUGAAAGCAUUAGCCAAUAAUGUUUUCAUUAAUCAAGAACGAACAUCUGAGGUUCGAAGAUGAUCUGACACCGUCAUAGUUCCGUCCAUAAAUGAUGCUGAUUAGUGAUCUGGCAGCGUUAGUCCCAUGACCCGCUCGAGCCGCUUCUGGGAAACCAAAGUCUUUGGGUUCCGGGGGAGGGGGAGUAUGGUUGCAAAGCUAAAACUUAAAGGAAUUGACGGAAGGGCACCACCAGGAGUGGAGCCUGUGGCUUAAUUUGACUCCACACGGGAAACCUCACCUGGCCCGGAAACGGAAAAAAGAUUGACAGAUUGAUAGCUCUUUCUCAAUGUUGUGGGUGGUGGUGCAUGGCCGUUCUUAGUUGGUGGAGCGAUUUGUCUGGUUAAUUCCGAUAACGAACGAAGCUCCUCCAUGCUAAGUAUUUCCCAUGAACGAGGAAUUCCCAUUAAGUGCGGGUCAUAAGCUUGCGUUGAUUAAGUCCCUACACUUUGUGCACACCGGCCGUCGCUACUACUGAUUGGAUGGUUUAGUGAGGUCCUCGGAUCGGCCCUGCUGGCAGCGCCCCUGGCGGAGCAGCGAAAAGACGAUCAAACUUGACUAGAGGAAGUAAAAGUCAUACGGGUUGGGUUAACCUGCUGGGGAUGUCCCC
Molecule: ribosomal RNA, 1535 nt
Filed under: Ambystoma mexicanum (axolotl)
Lineage: Eukaryota; Metazoa; Chordata; Amphibia; Caudata; Ambystomatidae
Description: SSU rRNA
Rfam family: Eukaryotic small subunit ribosomal RNA
Source: RNAcentral